ACGAACGCUGGCGGCGUGCCUAACACAUAGCAAGUCGAGCGAAUGAAGUUUCUUCGGGAACGGNUUUAGCGGCGGACGGGUGAGUAACACGUGGGCAACCUGCCUCAUAGAGGGGAAUAGCCUUCCGAAAGGGAGAUUAAUACCGCAUAAGAUUGUAGUACCGCAUGGUACAGCAAUUAAAGGAGCAAUCCGCUAUGAGAUGGGCCCGCGGCGCAUUAGCUAGUUGGUGAGGUAACGGCUCACCAAGGCGACGAUGCGUAGCCGACCUGAGAGGGUGAUCGGCCACAUUGGGACUGAGACACGGCCCAGACUCCUACGGGAGGCAGCAGUGGGGAAUAUUGCACAAUGGGGGAAACCCUGACGCAGCAACGCCGCGUGAAGGAUGAAGGUCUUCGGAUUGUAAACUUUUGUCUUAUGGGAAGAAAAAAAUGACGGUACCAUAGGAGGAAGCCACGGCUAACUACGUG
This 467-nucleotide ribosomal RNA is filed under the name uncultured bacterium. RNAcentral describes it as "bacterial SSU rRNA". It matches the Rfam family "Bacterial small subunit ribosomal RNA", at positions 29 to 507 of the family's 1533-position model. The record is from RNAcentral.